AGCAGAUGGGCAGUGGGUAAGCUGCAUUAAGUUAUAAGUGUGGGUAUUUGCUGCAUCAACUUAGGAGUGGACUGCAACCCACUGGUAGAACUGAUGCUGUGUCUGCAGAAGCUCCCUGGUACAGUCCGUGAAGUUUCCUUUUGAAGACUCUGGGGAGAGAUGCUGCCGCCCGUGAAGGUGUUCCGUCCUGGACUGGAAUAAGGCUUAUUUCUUCCUGCACUCCUGUCUGCUUGUAAAGCAGGGCAGCCACAUUUCCCUUUGCAUUUAUCCGAAUGGAAAACAAGUAAAUGCCAGCCUCACUCUAAAACCUGUCAGUUCCUUUCAACGUGGGAAAUGGAGCUUGGGCACCCAUGCGCAAAGGGGAAGAUCUUUUGGGAAAUGAGGCUGUAAUUCUGCACAAACCAACCCAUGCCAUGCCACUCAUGCUGACUGGGGCUUCUUUGCCACAGAAGUCUCCCUCACCUACAUAUAGCGGGCGGCCUCAUACAUUUCAAGGAGAGGAAGCCUGUGCAUACAUUCUGCGGUAAGGAAGUGAAUAAAGAACAGAUGGACUGGGAAUGUUCUCAUAGCCUGGAAGGAAACUGGUGAUCUGAUGGAAACCUAACAGAUGCAGAAGUGAUAAAACAAAAACUAAGAUAAUGUGAACAAGGAAGAAGGCAGCUCAGCAGGGCUCCAUGGAGGGGGCAAAACGUCCUUCCCGGAAAUAUUGGGCUGCAUCCAGGCACUAUCGGUGGGCAUCUGUGUGUGACAUCUCUUGCCUUGAGCUUGACAUCUCUGUUACAACAAGUAUUGCAGACAGUUGAAUUUCCUUUUAGU
This is a non-coding RNA of Pogona vitticeps (central bearded dragon), 816 nucleotides long. The record is from RefSeq and is a predicted model, not a curated record. Lineage: Eukaryota; Metazoa; Chordata; Lepidosauria; Squamata; Agamidae.